Molecule: long non-coding RNA, 916 nt
Filed under: Phascolarctos cinereus (koala)
Lineage: Eukaryota; Metazoa; Chordata; Mammalia; Diprotodontia; Phascolarctidae
Description: lncRNA (ENSPCIG00000013944.2)
Source: RNAcentral
GUUUGAAAAUGUCUCAUAGCUGCCUCGAAGAUCUCAGGUGCAGCAUUGACUACACUGAUCAAUCUAAGGUAGGAUAAAUGGAGGUAAGGAUUCAGAAAUCAUUGAUCCACCACGUCAAUAUAUGUACCUCCACAUGAAGAAUGCUGAGGGUAUCAAGUGGACAUCUUAAAAGUCAGAGGGCAAAAGAUGCAUCACUACUAGCAUUUUACGUAGAGAGUCUGGGGAUUCCUGCCUUGAUUUUUCUGCUACCCACAUCCUCAUUCUUUUCAUUUCACUGCUUCUCAGGCACAAGGACUAUUUUCCUGGUUCUCUAGAAUGCUGCUAGAAGGUAAGGAUUGGUGUAUCUGCCUGCAUUUCUACAGGAGUCCUCUGCAAAGCCAUUGGGCACCACGGAAGGGAAAUGCACGACAGAGAUGAAACAGAGGCUGUGUGCUCUCUCCCUACUCACUGACCGGUAAGCAUACAGUGAUACCAGGAACCAGGAUUUCCUGGUAUGCCAAAAACGGGAUGUGCCCCAGCUGCUGCUGCCAAGGCAGCCAGCGACAGAGACAGGGACAGAAUGACCCGCCUCGGAAUCCAAACUCAAGGGUUGCUGCAGAUGAAUUACUGCCAACUUCGUAAGACAAACUGGACAAACUCCCAUCAUGCCGGGUGAUGAAACAAUUUCCAGGAUUUCAUCCAUGGCACAUCCCCAACCUUGGAGUAUUUUCCCUGCUGGCUGUGAGAUCACUAUACAGGAAUACUAUAGAGGCAAGCUCCAAAAAUAUCACUGUCUGGAACCAUUUUUGCUUACUUAAGGACUUCUUCAGGUAUAAAAGCAUUAGACUACAAACCCAAUGCCUACAGAAACCAAUGUGUAUUUUAGGGAAAUGAGCUGGGAGGAGAAGUGAGACCAAUAAAGCAGGAGAGAUUUUCA